GACGAACGCUGGCGGCGUGCUUAACACAUGCAAGUCGAACGGAAAGGCCCUGCUUGCAGGGUACUCGAGUGGCGAACGGGUGAGUAACACGUGGGUGAUCUGCCCUGCACUUCGGGAUAAGCCUGGGAAACUGGGUCUAAUACCGGAUAGGAGCCAUUUUUAGUGUGAUGGUUGGAAAGUUUUUUCGGUGUAGGAUGAGCUCGCGGCCUAUCAGCUUGUUGGUGGGGUAAUGGCCUACCAAGGCGGCGACGGGUAGCCGGCCUGAGAGGGUGGACGGCCACAUUGGGACUGAGAUACGGCCCAGACUCCUACGGGAGGCAGCAGUGGGGAAUAUUGCACAAUGGGCGCAAGCCUGAUGCAGCGACGCCGCGUGGGGGAUGACGGCCUUCGGGUUGUAAACUCCUUUCGCUAGGGACAAAGCUUUUUGUGACGGUACCUAGAUAAGAAGCACCGGCUAACUACGUG
This 465-nucleotide ribosomal RNA is filed under the name uncultured bacterium. RNAcentral describes it as "partial 16S ribosomal RNA". It matches the Rfam family "Bacterial small subunit ribosomal RNA", at positions 28 to 507 of the family's 1533-position model. The record is from RNAcentral.